GCGCCCGUGGCCUAAUGGAUAAGGCGUUUGACUUCUAAUCAAACGAUUGUGGAUUCGCGUCCUACCGGGCGUG
This 73-nucleotide transfer RNA is filed under the name Brassica oleracea var. oleracea. It matches the Rfam family "tRNA". Rfam says of the family: Transfer RNA (tRNA) molecules are approximately 80 nucleotides in length. Their secondary structure includes four short double-helical elements and three loops (D, anti-codon, and T loops). Further hydrogen bonds mediate the characteristic L-shaped molecular structure. tRNAs have two regions of fundamental functional importance: the anti-codon, which is responsible for specific mRNA codon recognition, and the 3' end, to which the tRNAs corresponding amino acid is attached (by aminoacyl-tRNA synthetases). tRNAs cope with the degeneracy of the genetic code in two manners: having more than one tRNA (with a specific anti-codon) for a particular amino acid; and 'wobble' base-pairing, i.e. permitting non-standard base-pairing at the 3rd anti-codon position. The record is from Rfam by way of RNAcentral. Lineage: Eukaryota; Viridiplantae; Streptophyta; Magnoliopsida; Brassicales; Brassicaceae.